Molecule: long non-coding RNA, 338 nt
Organism: Hirundo rustica (Barn swallow)
Lineage: Eukaryota; Metazoa; Chordata; Aves; Passeriformes; Hirundinidae
Exons: 3
Source: RefSeq, a predicted model, not a curated record
CAAAAACCCGGCUUGGUCAAGAUUCAAACAAACAUCCAGGCCAGCAGUUUCAAAUGAUCUCUUUUACAAGUGAUCAGUCAGAAAUAUCUCUGUUGAAUUUGGUGGCUCUGACAUCAAAGGUUGUUCGUUGGUACCUCCACCGUAGUGUCAGUGCCAGUGUGCAGCAGAAGGGGAUCUCAUCUCUGAACAAUGCUGGAUUAGGAGGUGGGAGUCAGCACAUUUCUACAGCAGAUACCAUCCAACCUUGACCUCCACCAUCCAGAUCUACAGUGAAGGAGAAGCUGAGCCUGCACACCCACACCAAGAUGCUUUUGACAUUUGGAGAUCUGCAGGAGCGG